RNAcentral lists this non-coding RNA (48 nucleotides) under Schistosoma margrebowiei. Lineage: Eukaryota; Metazoa; Platyhelminthes; Trematoda; Strigeidida; Schistosomatidae. The record is from RNAcentral.
AUCCAGCUGACGAGUUCCAAAUAAGACGAAACGUAUGUCAAACAGAAU